This 497-nucleotide ribosomal RNA is filed under the name uncultured bacterium. RNAcentral describes it as "partial 16S ribosomal RNA". It matches the Rfam family "Bacterial small subunit ribosomal RNA", at positions 28 to 507 of the family's 1533-position model. The record is from RNAcentral.
GAUGAACGCUGGCGGCGUGCCUAAUACAUGCAAGUCGAGCGAACGGACGAUAAGCUUUCUUCUCUGCUGUUAGCGACUGACGGGCGAGUAACACGUGCAUAACCUACCUAUAAUACUGGGAUAACUUCGUGAAACCGGAUCUAAUACCGGAUCAUAUUUUCAACCGCAUAGUUCAAAAGUUAAACACUCUCUUGCCGUCACUUAUAGAUGGAUCCGCGCUGCAUUAGCUAGUUGGUAAGGUAACGGCUUACCAAGGCAACGAUGCAUAGCCGACCUGAGAGGGUGAUCGGCCACACUGGAACUGAGACACGGUCCAGACUCCUACGGGAGGCAGCAGUAGGGAAUAUUCCGCAAUGGGCGAAAGCCUGACGGAGCCACGCCGCGUGAGUGAUGAAGGUCUUCGGAUCGUAAAACUCUGUUAUUAGGGAAGAAAAUAUGUGUAAGAAACUGUGGACAUCUUGACGGUACCCAAUCAGAAAGCAACGGCUAACUACGUG